RNAcentral lists this long non-coding RNA (452 nucleotides) under Gallus gallus (chicken). Lineage: Eukaryota; Metazoa; Chordata; Aves; Galliformes; Phasianidae. The record is from RNAcentral.
CUGAUAGCUUGUCAUAGAUGCUGAGCUCGUUGGCUGAAAGCUCCAUGGCCUCUGAUAAAAAAUCCCCCGCUCCGUCGCCCGGCUCCGGGCUCCUCCCGCCCGCGGUGGAGGCGGGCCCGGCCGCCGCUUCCUGCUUCCGGCGGAGGGGAGGGAGGAGGGCCGUUGCGUUCUCUCGGUGCCCCGCAGCCCCCAACGCCUCCCAGGCAACCGUCCCAGAACAGCCGCGGUUUCUCCCGGCAGCAGCGCUGUCCCCGCAGCCCCGGGCCGCCUGCUGCCCUCCGAAGGCACGGUCGUCCUGCGGUCUCUGUUCUUCUCCAGCUGCUUUUCUGGCUGCCGCUGCAGUUUCGGACCAUAACAAGGGCUCCGUCCAUCACCAGCAGCAUCCCCUUUUCUUCUGAAGCAGCUUUGGUCGCUCUUCUGCUUUAUUCCUCAAUUGAUCUUCACCUCGCCCC